UGGUUACAAUAGCAGAGAGGAUACACCUGUUCCCAUUCCGAACACAGAAGUUAAGCUCUCUAGCGCUGAUGGUACUUGGUGGGAAACUGCCUGGGAGAGUA
This 101-nucleotide ribosomal RNA is filed under the name Clostridioides difficile. The record is from RNAcentral. Lineage: Bacteria; Bacillati; Bacillota; Clostridia; Peptostreptococcales; Peptostreptococcaceae.